GACAGAGGAUGCAAGCGUUAUCCGGAAUGAUUGGGCGUAAAGCGUCUGCAGGUGGCUUUUUAAGUCUGCCGUCAAAUCCCAGGGCUUAACCCUGGACAGGCGGUGGAAACUACCAAGCUGGAGUACGGUAGGGGCAGAGGGAAUUUCCGGUGGAGCGGUGAAAUGCGUAGAGAUCGGAAAGAACACCAACGGCGAAGGCACUCUGCUGGGCCGACACUGACACUGAGAGACGAAAGCUAGGGGAGCAAAUGGG
RNAcentral lists this ribosomal RNA (253 nucleotides) under uncultured bacterium. Its description in RNAcentral is "partial 16S ribosomal RNA". It matches the Rfam family "Bacterial small subunit ribosomal RNA", at positions 524 to 776 of the family's 1533-position model. The record is from RNAcentral.